Molecule: ribosomal RNA, 605 nt
Filed under: uncultured Actinomycetes bacterium
Lineage: Bacteria; Bacillati; Actinomycetota; Actinomycetes
Description: bacterial SSU rRNA
Rfam family: Bacterial small subunit ribosomal RNA
Source: RNAcentral
AGUCGAGCGGAAGGCCCUUCGGGGUACUCGAGCGGCGAACGGGUGAGUAACACGUGAGCAACCUGCCCCUGGCUCUGGAUAGCCUCCGGAAACGGGGAUUAAUACCGGACAUGACCUGCUGCCGCAUGGCGGCGGGUGGAAAGUUUUUCGGCCAGGGUGGGGCUCGCGGCCUAUCAGCUUGUUGGGGGGGGUGACGGCCCACCAAGGCGACGACGGGUAGCCGGCCUGAGAGGGCGACCGGCCACACUGGGACUGAGACACGGCCCAGACUCCUACGGGAGGCAGCAGUGGGGAAUAUUGCGCAAUGGGGGAAACCCUGACGCAGCGACGCCGCGUGCGGGAUGAAGGCCUUCGGGUUGUAAACCGCUUUCACCAGGGACGAAGCGAGAGUGACGGUACCUGGGGAAGAAGCGCCGGCUAACUACGUGCCAGCAGCCGCGGUAAUACGUAGGGCGCGAGCGUUGUCCGGAAUUAUUGGGCGUAAAGAGCUCGUAGGCGGCCGGUUGCGUCUGCUGUGAAAUCCCGGGGCUUAACCCCGGGCGUGCAGUGGAUACGGGCCGGCUGGAGGCAGGCAGGGGAGAAUGGAAUUCCCGGUGUAGCGGUGA